This 266-nucleotide long non-coding RNA is filed under the name Lathyrus oleraceus (garden pea). RNAcentral's name for it is "Pisum sativum (pea) long non-coding RNA (PSAT_LNC013648)". The record is from RNAcentral. Lineage: Eukaryota; Viridiplantae; Streptophyta; Magnoliopsida; Fabales; Fabaceae.
UGUGAUACGCGUGUGUGUUGUGUUUGCGUGUGCGUGAUUUAUGUGUGUGUGUGUGAUGUGUGUGUGUGUGUGCGUGAUGUGUUUGUAAUGUGUGUGUUUCAUAUGUGUGUGUGUGUGUGAUAUGUGGGUAAUGUGUGUGUGUGUGUGUAAUAUGUGUGUGUGUGUGUGUGAUGUGUGUGUGUGUGUGAUGUGUGUGAUGUAUGUGUGAUGUGUGUGAUGUGUGUGUGUGAGAGAAGUGUGUGUGUGUGUGUGUGUGUGUGAUGUGU